This 790-nucleotide long non-coding RNA is filed under the name Homo sapiens (human). RNAcentral's name for it is "HSALNT0380242". The record is from RNAcentral. Lineage: Eukaryota; Metazoa; Chordata; Mammalia; Primates; Hominidae.
CUUCUGGAUAGUACAGUUCACUUAAUUCUAACAACAGGAACGAGGGUACUGUGGGCUUCAUUUCAGAGAAGAGGAAACUGGGAUUUGGAGCUGAAGUAACUUGACCAAGAGCAGAUGGCAGGCACCCCUGAGCAUGAAAUAUAAAUUUCCCCCUGAGGAUUUAUGCCUUAUGUUUCUAGAGGGACAUAGAGAAGACAGAUAACUUAAAUACUUGGGUUCUGGAUUGGGGUUAUGUCAAACAUGCCACCGAAGAUUCUUGCACACGUUAUGCUGGUGUACAUAUAUGGAAGUGUCUGUGAGUACACACGUCACGGAGGAACUGCUGUGCCAUAGGGGAUACACACCCUCAACCUUGGCAGAUGAUGCUGAGCUGCCUUCCAGAGCAGCAGUGCUGGUUUGCACUCUCAGAAGCUUUGUAGAGAGUUCCAACUGCUCCACUUUCUCACCCACGCUUGUAAAUUUUGCUGCUGCUGUCUCUUUGGAUUUGGGCCAUUUUUAAGAGGUGUAACACUCACUGUGAAGUUCUGUAGCUCCAUUCUUCAAGUUAGCGAGACCACGAACCUGCCGGAAGGAACCAACUCCGGACAUAGCAGAUCAAGAAGGCAGUCAGAAGUGGGAAAUGACCCAGCACAAGAAGACAGCUUCAACUCCCUAUGAUUUCACCUCGGACCUGACCAAUCAGCAUUUGCAGUUCACUGGCUUCCCCCGACUCACCAAGCUGGUCUUAAAAAUUCUGAUCCCCGAAUGCUCAGGAAGACUGACUUGAGUAAUAAUAAAACUCUGGUCUCCC